UUUGAAAGGGAAACGAUUGAAGUCAGUCGUAUCUAUGGGUAAUCAGCCUUUUGGGUGUGAUUUUGUGGAGCGUGAGGAGUUAAACGCCUUCAUGCCUGCAUAUUCGUGCACUUUGGGUGUACUUGCCCGUGUGUAAGUUAACAUCAAUUUUGGUGGUCAUAAAAUGGCUGGAGGAAUGUAGCUUCGAUCUUGUAUUGAAGUGUUAUAGCCUUCGGUAGAUGUGACGAUCGGGAUUGAGGAUUGCAACGGAUACCCUUCGGGGCUACCUGUCUGAUCUCUGAUUGUUGCUCUGGUGCCGAAAGCUUGCUUACGGUUAUUAAAGUCGAUGGUCAAUAGGUUAGAAUGGGUUAAAUUCGUUAAG
Molecule: ribosomal RNA, 361 nt
Filed under: uncultured Glomeromycotina
Lineage: Eukaryota; Fungi; Glomeromycota
Description: LSU rRNA
Source: RNAcentral